GACGAACGCUGGCGGCGUGUUUACACAUGCAAGUCGAACGGAAAGGCCCUGCUUUUGUGGGGUGCUCGAGUGGCGAACGGGUGAGUAACACGUGAGUAACCUGCCCUUGACUUUGGGAUAACUUCAGGAAACUGGGGCUAAUACCGGAUAGGAGCUCCUGCUGCAUGGUGGGGGUUGGAAAGUUUCGGCGGUUGGGGAUGGACUCGCGGCUUAUCAGCUUGUUGGUGGGGUAGUGGCUUACCAAGGCUUUGACGGGUAGCCGGCCUGAGAGGGUGACCGGCCACAUUGGGACUGAGAUACGGCCCAGACUCCUACGGGAGGCAGCAGUGGGGAAUAUUGCACAAUGGGCGGAAGCCUGAUGCAGCAACGCCGCGUGCGGGAUGACGGCCUUCGGGUUGUAAACCGCUUUCGCCUGUGACGAAGCGUGAGUGACGGUAAUGGGUAAAGAAGCACCGGCUAACUACGUGCCAGCAGCCGCGGUGAUACGUAGGGUGCGAGCGUUGUCCGGAUUUAUUGGGCGUAAAGGGCUCGUAGGUGGUUGAUCGCGUCGGAAGUGUAAUCUUGGGGCUUAACCCUGAGCGUGCUUUCGAUACGGGUUGACUUGAGGAAGGUAGGGGAGAAUGGAAUUCCUGGUGGAGCGGUGGAAUGCGCAGAUAUCAGGAGGAACACCAGUGGCGAAGGCGGUUCUCUGGGCCUUUCCUGACGCUGAGGAGCGAAAGCGUGGGGAGCGAACAGGCUUAGAUACCCUGGUAGUCCACGCUGUAAACGGUGGGUACUAGGUGUGGGGUCCAUUCCACGGGUUCCGUGCCGUAGCUAACGCUUUAAGUACCCCGCCUGGGGAGUACGGCCGCAAGGCUAAAACUCAAAGGAAUUGACGGGGCCCCGCACAAGCGGCGGAGCAUGCGGAUUAAUUCGAUGCAACGCGUAGAACCUUACCUGGGUUUGACAUGGAUCGGGAGCGCUCAGAGAUGGGUGUGCCUCUUUUGGGGUCGGUUCACAGGUGGUGCAUGGCUGUCGUCAGCUCGUGUCGUGAGAUGUUGGGUUAAGUCCCGCAACGAGCGCAACCCUUGUUCACUGUUGCCAGCACGUUAUGGUGGGGACUCAGUGGAGACCGCCGGGGUCAACUCGGAGGAAGGUGAGGAUGACGUCAAGUCAUCAUGCCCCUUAUGUCCAGGGCUUCACGCAUGCUACAAUGGCUGGUACAGAGAGUGGCGAGCCUGUGAGGGUGAGCGAAUCUCGGAAAGCCGGUCUCAGUUCGGAUUGGGGUCUGCAACUCGACCUCAUGAAGUCGGAGUCGCUAGUAAUCGCAGAUCAGCAACGCUGCGGUGAAUACGUUCCCGGG
Molecule: ribosomal RNA, 1342 nt
Filed under: uncultured bacterium
Lineage: Bacteria
Description: 16S ribosomal RNA
Rfam family: Bacterial small subunit ribosomal RNA
Source: RNAcentral